UACGGGGGGGGUAAGCGUUGUUCGGAAUUACUGGGCGUAAAGGGCUCGUAGGCGGCCAACUAAGUCAUACGUGAAAUCCCUCAGCUUAACUGGGGAACUGCGUGUGAUACUGGAUGGCUUGGAUUUGGGAGAGGGAUGCGGAAUUCCUAGUGUAGCGGUGAAAUGCGCAGAUAUUAGGAGGAACACCGGUGGCGAAGGCGCCACUCUGGGCCGAAACUGACGCUGAGGAGCGAAAGCGUGGGUAGCAAACAGG
Molecule: ribosomal RNA, 253 nt
Filed under: uncultured bacterium
Lineage: Bacteria
Description: partial 16S ribosomal RNA
Rfam family: Bacterial small subunit ribosomal RNA
Source: RNAcentral